Molecule: ribosomal RNA, 424 nt
Filed under: uncultured bacterium
Lineage: Bacteria
Description: partial 16S ribosomal RNA
Rfam family: Bacterial small subunit ribosomal RNA
Source: RNAcentral
AAUUUUUGACAAUGGGGGAAACCCCGUUCUAGCCAUCCCGCGUGUGUGAUGAAGGCCUUCGGGUGGUAAAGUACGUUUGGAAGAGAAGAAAAGGUAUUCCCUAAUACGGGUUACUGCUGACGGCAUCUGCAGAAUAAGCACCGGCCAACUACGUUCCAGCAGCCGCCGUAAUACGUAGGGUGCAAGCGGUAAUCGGAAUUACUGGGCGUAAAGGGUGUGUAGGCGGUUCGGAAAGAAAGAUGUGAAAGCCCAGGGCUCAACCUUGGAACUGCAUUUUUAACUGCCGAGCUAGAGUAUGUCAGAGGGGGGUAGAAUUCCACGUGUAGCAGUGAAAUGCGUAGAUAUGUGGAGGAAUACCGAUGGCGAAGGCAGCCCCCUGGGAUAAUACUGACGCUCAGACACGAAAGCGUGGGGAGCAAACAGG